CGGGGUGUGGCGCAGGGGUAGCGCGCGCCGUUCGGGACGGCGAGGUCGACGGUUCAAAUCCGUCCACCCCGA
This 72-nucleotide transfer RNA is filed under the name Candidatus Woesebacteria bacterium. RNAcentral describes it as "tRNA-Pro". It matches the Rfam family "tRNA". From Rfam's summary of the family: Transfer RNA (tRNA) molecules are approximately 80 nucleotides in length. Their secondary structure includes four short double-helical elements and three loops (D, anti-codon, and T loops). Further hydrogen bonds mediate the characteristic L-shaped molecular structure. tRNAs have two regions of fundamental functional importance: the anti-codon, which is responsible for specific mRNA codon recognition, and the 3' end, to which the tRNAs corresponding amino acid is attached (by aminoacyl-tRNA synthetases). tRNAs cope with the degeneracy of the genetic code in two manners: having more than one tRNA (with a specific anti-codon) for a particular amino acid; and 'wobble' base-pairing, i.e. permitting non-standard base-pairing at the 3rd anti-codon position. RNAcentral also lists the same sequence under 2 other names. The record is from RNAcentral. Lineage: Bacteria; Candidatus Woeseibacteriota.